Molecule: ribosomal RNA, 465 nt
Filed under: Vreelandella stevensii
Lineage: Bacteria; Pseudomonadati; Pseudomonadota; Gammaproteobacteria; Oceanospirillales; Halomonadaceae
Description: partial 16S ribosomal RNA
Rfam family: Bacterial small subunit ribosomal RNA
Source: RNAcentral
CCUACGGGUGGCUGCAGUGGGGAAUAUUGGACAAUGGGCGAAAGCCUGAUCCAGCCAUGCCGCGUGUGUGAAGAAGGCCUUCGGGUUGUAAAGCACUUUCAGUGGGGAAGAAAGCCUUGGGGCUAAUACCCUCGAGGAAGGACAUCACCCACAGAAGAAGCACCGGCUAACUCCGUGCCAGCAGCCGCGGUAAUACGGAGGGUGCGAGCGUUAAUCGGAAUUACUGGGCGUAAAGCGCGCGUAGGCGGUCUGAUAAGCCGGUUGUGAAAGCCCCGGGCUCAACCUGGGAACGGCAUCCGGGAGAGGUAGGGGUACGGGCAAGGGGGGGAGGGUAGAAGCCCGGGUGUGGGGGGAAAGUGGGUAGGGGGGGGGAGGAAGAGCGGGGGCAGAGGCGGCCUUGUGGACUGACACUGACGCUGGGGUGCGAGUGCGUGGGUAGCAAACGGGAGUAGGACCGCGGAGUGC